GCGGUACUUCUGACCGUGCAAAGGUAGCAUAAUCAUUUGCCUUAUAAUUGAAGGCUAGUAUGAAUGGUUUGACAAGAAUGUAGCUGUCUCUUUAUAAUUUAAUAGAAUUUUAUUUUCAGGUGAAGAAGCCUGUAUUUAAUUAAAAGACAAGAAGACCCUAUCGAGCUUGAAAAAACUUAAUAGAAUUAAAGUUAAUAUUUAUAAAAAAUUGUCUAUUAAACAUUUUAGUUGGGGCGACUGAGGAACAUAAAAAGCUUCCUUUAUAAACUGAUUUAAAUCAAACUAGAAUUGAUCCAAAAUAUUUUGAUUAAAGGAAUUAGUUACCGUAGGGAUAACAGCAUUAUCUUUUUUAAGAGCUCAUAUCGAAAAAAAGGUUUGUGACCUCGAUGUUGGACCAGAAUAUCCUAAAGGUGCAGCA
This 418-nucleotide ribosomal RNA is filed under the name Nassarius variciferus. RNAcentral's name for it is "partial 16S ribosomal RNA". It matches the Rfam family "Bacterial large subunit ribosomal RNA", at positions 1933 to 2560 of the family's 2925-position model. The record is from RNAcentral. Lineage: Eukaryota; Metazoa; Mollusca; Gastropoda; Neogastropoda; Nassariidae.